This is a long non-coding RNA of Triplophysa dalaica, 1228 nucleotides long. RefSeq lists it as uncharacterized. The transcript is spliced from 3 exons. The record is from RefSeq and is a predicted model, not a curated record. NCBI's taxonomy places the organism in Eukaryota, Metazoa, Chordata, Actinopteri, Cypriniformes, Nemacheilidae.
UGGAAAAUGCCAGUGGAGUUGUCAGAUCAACACGCUCGCUUGAGAGAAAUCGCAGCACGCCUCAAUGAGCCUUUGGUCAGGAGGUGAAUGAGGACGCCUAACAUCCAUAGCAGUUCCAAGAAAACGGACAGAUGCUUCUGCGCAUCUCUUCAUGCACCUAUCCGGUUCUAGAAGAGAUCGCAAAGACGUCACAGACUGAGUCCCGAUUUUGCCAAGUCUGCAACCAAAAGGAGAAACAUCUGAUGCUGAUGCUUAAAGGGAUACUCCAUCCAAACAUGAAGGUUAUUGCUAAACGCUAAACUGUUUAACAUUUAUGCAUUUGGCAGUCACUUUUUUCCAAAGCGACUUACAUGGCAUUGUAUCAUUCAUUUCCUUCUGACAUCUGUUUUAUAGACCGUCGUCCAUGGCAACCGUCUCCAACCCUGUGCUAGGUUUAAGUCUCUAGCACUUUGCUAUCUCCUUACACAUAAUGAAAUAAUUGACAUUGCAGUCAAUAUUUUAUGUUCAUUUAGUAUUUUAUAGCCAGAUAAUAAGUGGUACAGGGCAGCCGUUAUGGCAAAAGAAACACCUUCAGGGUAAUACAAAACCAGAUCACCCUGUAGGGUAUAUUUUGCAGAAAUGUCUGACUAUGUGUGAGCCCUUACUGACAAGAAUCAGCUGAUUCAUUUGCACAGUAAUGAAUCAGUUCGUAAUAGAGCACACGGUGCGCUUACUUCCAGAAUUAGUCAUACUUGAUUUGAGAUCAUUGAACUUGGUGAGAUUUGUCAGGAAUACACAUUGUCAAUAUUUUUCAUGUCCGGAAUAUUGCAUUUGAUAUGGUCUUUUAUUUAUUUGGGUGUGUCUGUGAGGAAUCAUAGUGUCGAUCAAAAGUACAACUUAACACAAAAUAUAAAUUAUAUUAUUAUAAAACAUAAGAUCUAUGUAAAAUUUUGGUGACUGACAGCCUAAAUUGCAUUCUGUUCUACGCCGAGAUAAAUUCUAACUUGUUAUGUUUGUAGCUUGACUGCAGUUGGAUACUUUGAUGUCAUGAAUGAUUGUUUAUGAAAUGAAAGUUGCUGAUGGUUCAUACAGUUCACCCAUACAUAAACAUUUCCUCAUUUUUCACACACCCUUGUGUCUGUCCGUACCUGUAUUUUCUGACUAAACAUCAUUACAUCAGAUCUGCACCAAAUUUAAGUGAGAGUCAAUGGUUAAUAGAAAUUUCAAUAAAUAUACAAUAUCUUUGUAU